GCGGGCGUAGCUCAGUGGUAGAGCAUUACCUUGCCAAGGUAAGGGUCAAGAGUUCGAUCCUCUUCGCCCGCUCCA
Molecule: transfer RNA, 75 nt
Filed under: Aestuariivita sp.
Lineage: Bacteria; Pseudomonadati; Pseudomonadota; Alphaproteobacteria; Rhodobacterales; Paracoccaceae
Description: tRNA-Gly
Rfam family: tRNA
About the family: Transfer RNA (tRNA) molecules are approximately 80 nucleotides in length. Their secondary structure includes four short double-helical elements and three loops (D, anti-codon, and T loops).
Source: RNAcentral